AGCUAAGCCACUGCUGUGCUGCCUUCCCAGCUAGUUCUGCAAACCAGCUUCAAGGCCAGGUGAGCCCAGCCCAGCAAAGAAUGGCUUGGAACUGGGAAGUCGAGCAGCGCUCCCUUUCCAGUGUGCCUGCUGAUGCUGGUGAGUCUGCACCGCUCCUGUCGUCCAUCCUGAAGUGCAGCUGAGGGCAUUUCUAACUGUAAUCAUGCUGCCUGGAUCACAAGCAAUAUUGGAGUUUGUUAAACAAAUACAUUCAUCACAGGACUUGAAUUUUUCUUAGGUGGUUCUGCCUUCCUCCUUGUCCCUCUGGUGCUAACAUUGACUUGGCAGCAGUGAUGUACCUCGGAAAYGAUGGUUUCGUGUCGUCAGGAUGGAUGGGCACGGGGCCAUCAUCUCCCCAGCCCUGCUGGCGCUUCUCCAACGUGAGCCUCUCCUGGAGCCAGCGUUGUCUCCCAGCCYGUGGUCAGCCAGUUCUUGGGGCAGCUCUGCAACGCUCCAGAAAUC
Molecule: long non-coding RNA, 501 nt
Organism: Nothoprocta perdicaria
Lineage: Eukaryota; Metazoa; Chordata; Aves; Tinamiformes; Tinamidae
Exons: 3
Source: RefSeq, a predicted model, not a curated record